AAACUCAUCAAGUCAAUAAUAAGUGAGAGUAGGAAAAUGAAGCUCUGUAGUAAAGGCACCAAGGGCCAAAAUUAGAGAUAGCUAUUGUCUCUCAGAGACAAAUGGCAUGGCCUUAGACAACCAUAAAAAGAGUUGACUGGUGCAUCUAACGAGACUACUAAGAAGACAACCAAGUCGAAUACUUGUAGAUUGUGGCUCUACAAAAAAUUACAUUUAAAUUUAAAUUAUCGAUCAGCUUGGAAUUAAAAUUAAAGAAAUCAAGAAAAGAAGUAUAUAUAUCUUAUAGAUGACCAAGAGAAUUUAUUGAGUAAGAUGUGUAAAGAAGAAAUCUUGAGAUUGAUAAAUAUCUAUAUCUUAAGAGAGAGAUUUAAGAUAACAAAGCUUAGGUAUGAUGUUAUCUUUGGUAUGCCAUAGCUAGAAAUGAGAAAUAAGCAAGUUAAUUAGGUAGCAAGAACAAUCUCUUUUAAAGAUGGAGGAUGCAAGGUGAUUCUAUGCCCCUCAAUAUCAAGUAAAGAUGAAAAACAAUCUACAAUUAAAGACUUACUUGUAGGGACGACUUUUAUAAAGAAGCAGCUAUAGUAUGAACAAUCAAUAUAUAUGGUGGUUCCAAAUCUUGUGCCAAUGGUAGAAAAGAUAGCAAAAUGGAUAGAAUGAAUAGAGCAAUUCAUACGCAAAUAUUAAGAUGUAGUUCAAUCGACCUACCUAGUGGCGUACUUCAUGAUCAAGGUGCCCCCUUUCAAAUAGAACUAUUGUGUAGAGCCAAACCAAUAAGUUGAUCAAUUUAUCUUCUAGCAUUAAAAGAACUUGAAGAGCAUAAGCAACACCUUUAAGAAGUAUUGCGUCGAUUACAAGAUAGUCACUUCUAUUAUAAGCAAUCAAAAUGUGAACUUUGAAAGUCAAAAGUCAACUUUGAAAGUCAAAAGUCAACUUUUUAAGGUAUGUAGUAUCCUCCAAAGGCUUGUGUAUGGAGCAAGAUGAGGUGAAAGCAAUGAAGGAUUGACUAAUCUCCAAAUAUGCUUAUGAAGUUUGCUUGGUUUUAGACCUUACUAGAUACUAUCACCAUUUUGUUCAUAUUACUACAUCAUUGACAAACAUAUUAGAGAUGAUGCCUCAUUUGAAUGGAAAUUGGAGCAGCAAAAUAUCUUUGAUAAGUUAAAAAAAAUACUUAUUACUGCUCCAAUAUUAUAACCGUGUGAUUCGAAUGUCCUUUGUAUGCUUGACAUUGAUACUUUCAACUUUGCUAUUGGAGUGGUCUUUCAAUAAGACUUUGAUAGAGGCCUUCAACUUGUGGUGUAUGAAUUACAUAAGCUUAAAAGGGUAGAGCACAAUUACUCUAUAUGAUCAGGAAUAAUUAGUGAUUAUACAUGCCACAAAGGUGUGGCAACACUAUUUAUUAGAGAAGCCAAUGGUUGUUUGGACUGACCAUCGACCCUUGCUACAUGAUUUUCACUUGAAAAUAUGAAAUCGUGACAUCAUUAUUGAAAAGAAUAAUUGUAGCUUUCUCAUUCUCAGCUUGAGUACAAGUAAGGACAACAACAUAUUGUAGUAGAUAAUUUAUCACAGAGACCAGAUUUGAAGGAAAAAUUAGAAGAUAAGACAAAAGUUGCUACUAUUAGUAGUAUUAUUUCAGAUCUAAUGAAAGAUACAGAAUAGAAAGAAGCUAUGCAACAGGAUGCUUAUUCUAAGAUGAUUAGCAAUCAGUUGAAGGUAGAUAAUAUAUAAUAUUAGGAUUAUAUUUUUACUGAUGGCUUAUUCUAUUUUAAGAAAUAAAUUUAUGUACUUGAUAAUACUAAACUCCAGAUGCGCAUACUUCAAGAAGGAUAUGAUAUUCUAAUAUCUAGAGAUCUGGGAUGAAAGAAGAUCUUUGAAAGGAUCUCAAGGAUAUGGUUUUGGAUAGGUUUGGAUUGUGAUGUUUGAGCCUUUGUAUACUCUUGUAAGUCAUGUCAACAUAACAAAAUAUGCAAUGCAACAUCUUUUGAACUAUUGCAGCCAAUUCCACUAUCUAUGGCAUAUUGGGAAUAUGUGACUAUGGAUCUCAUUGUAUAUUUGCUACAAAUGCGUCAUAAUCAUAUCGCAAUUAUUGUCUUUGUGGAUCAAUUCUUGAAGCAACUUUACUUGGCUACAGUGUGCUUGGAUAUUGAUGCCCUAAUGCUUGCACAAGUAUUCUUUGAUAUUAUCUUUUAUCACCAUGGAUUAUCUUGUGUCAUCGUUACAAAUUGAGAUCCACGUUUCAUGGAAAGUUUUUUGCAAGCCUUGUUUAAGCUAUUAGACACACGACUUGCCAUUCAAGCUACUAGGCAUACGACUUGCCAUUCAAGCUACUAGACAUACGACUUGCCAUAUCUAUAGCCUUCUAUUUUCAAAUGGAUGGACAAACAGAGCGUCCAAAUCAAACCUUGGAGGAUAUGCUACGGGCAUUUGUAGCGGUUCAUCAUAAUGAUUGGAAUAAAUACUUGACGCCCUCAAAAUUUCCUUACAAUGAUAGUAUUCAAACAAGUAUCAAUCAUUCAUAAUUUUUCUUUAAUACCGAUCAACAUCUGAUUACGCCAACAACUCUCUAUCAUCUCAUCGACACCAAUAAUACAAGAAUAUAUACAAUGGCUUAUAACAACCUUAUAAGAGACACGACACUGCCUUUUUACUGCAUAGAAUCAAUAAAAGCAAUAUGCGGAUAACCAUCGGCAAUAUAAGACCUUCCAAGAGGGUGACCAUGUGAUACUCUCUAAUGCCAAUUUGCCACCUUGGUGGCUUGGAUCUUUUUGUAUUUCUGCAGUAAUUUCUUAUGUUGCAUACCGCCUCCAACUUUUACCAUAUAUUCAAGUUCAUCCAAUUUUUUGUAUUUAGAAAUUGAAGGAAUUUCAUAUUGAACCAAAGUGCUUUUUGGAUUGAUAUCAACCACCACUACCACCACUAGUUGUAGUUGGUAACCAAUAAGAAUAUGAAGUAGAAAACAUUUUGGAGCAUCACUACCUUCGUUGUAGGAGUGGAUGUCUACAACUUCAGUACAAAAUUCUUUGGAAAGGUUAUCCCAUUUACGAUGCAACUUGAAAAUCUACACAAAACCUCAUCCAUUGCUAAGGGGUAAUUUGGAGAUACCAUCAAGAGCAAAACAAAGACGUUCUGCGUUAGUGGAGGGGGAUUAACUAUAACAAGGUAUAGAUAAGAUAAUUAUAUGGAUAGUUAGAAUUAUGAAAAUUUCUAGAAGUAGGAUUAAAUUAGUAGACUAGGUAAGAUCUACUUUGAAAUAUUUUAGAAAGAAUUUAGGGCAAUUAUUUAGAUAGGAUCCACCAUAAAACCUUCUAAAAAAGAAGUUAAAGGCAGUUAUCUAGGAGGAGUCCACUACCUAAGAUCAUUUUAGAAAAUCCAGGGUGAUAGGAUAAGGUAUAAACAAGAUUGGCGAGGGCCUUUUGGAGAAUUUGGUUAGAUAUAGCUUUGAAUCUUUUCUCUUAGUAAAGUUUGGUUCUGCAUCUUUCUAUUAAGAUUUGUUCUGUUUUGUUUCUGUUUACUCAGUUUUAUCUUUCAUGUCUUAUUUUUUUUAGUUCUAUUCAAUUUUAUUCUGAUUUGUUUUGUCUUAUUUUGUGAUGAGGCCUUAUGUUGUUGUAGAUUAGAAGGAUCUUUGAUUUUUGAGAUAGUCUAGUCCUAUGUUAAUCAAAGUACCAAUGUUCUUAGUAAAAAUUCUAAAUAUCACUCUUGAAGCAAACAUGUGGAUACACAAUACAAUUCCACCAAAGCAAAGAUCUUUGCCAAAGAAAUCAAAGUGCACUAUGUCGUAAUCAUACAUAUGAUAGUAGAUAUAUUUUUAAAAUCUCUUUCCAAAGACUAAUAUUUCCAAUGCUUAACUUAAUUAAGCAUAUAUCAACUUCUUCUAAAUGCAAAAUAAGCAAACUAGAAUCAUUCAAGCCUGAUUUGUCUACUCAAAACAACAAGACCUUACACAACAUCCAUAUUUUGAUACAUCAUGGAGUGGGAGACAAUCUAGUAAAAUAACUUAUUCCAAAUCCAUAAAAUAUUAAAAUACAAAAGAAAACCUUUAUAUCAAAACUGCUAAGAGAAAACAAAAGCAAAACAUGCCCUGAUUGCUAUAAUAAUGCAUGUUGGGAAGCUUACCAUGAAGCUUGUUGUAAAGCUUGCUACUAUGCUUGUUGCGAAGCUUGCUGCCAUACUUGCUGCAAAGCUUGCCAUCAAGGUGAUUACAUUUGCAACUGACCUUGUAUGGAUGCCUGCUCCAAAAUCCACUAUUAUGUCUACAUUUGCAAUGUCUCUUUCAAUAGUAACAAUGAAUUUUUUGGUAAUAAAACAAAAAACAACAAAAAAGAAAGAAGAAAUGUACAAACAGCAAACAUGAAGCAACAAGCAAAUACAAAUCAACAAAAUAAAUCACAUACCUUGUCAAAAUUGAAAAAGCAAUGAGAGAACUAUGAGAAAUCCCUCUAACAUUGUAACACCAAAAAGAAGAUUGAAACCCUACAUUUCUCAUACAUAUCUAUUUUAAAAAUGGAUAAAUUUUUGCUAUAGAUGAAAUUCAAUUCAAGGAUGAAGAUUAGUAUACUAGUGGGAGCAUUGGCAGAAUUAUUCCAUAUAGUACACUAGUCUCAUGUAUAGAAUACUAUCUAUUAAGUAUUGACCUUGCACCAAGAGUUGUGACUCUUGGUGUCAAUAUUGUACACACAAUAUAUUGUGUAACAUUGAUCAUAUUUAUAGAUAUAAUGUUUCCAACACAAAUUGCUGGAUCUAACUUCUUUUUUCAGGGAUCACAAACCCAGCAAGUCGCUCAGACCUGGAACAAAGUGAAGAAGUGGUGCACCGACAGAUACAGCACAAUGGAAUGUGUAUUAUGGUUGAUCGAAAUUUCUUCAUGAAUUGUUUUCUUAGAGUAUGUUAAUGCGUUUUGUGUUCUGAUUUGUGUGAUUUGAAUCACGGUUGUAUUCAAAGUUGUAGCCUGAGCAGAUAAAUAAAGAGAAAAAUCCAUGGAAAAUAUCAUCUUGUUCGAAACAGACAGUUGCAGAACAGAUAUCAACGGAUGCUCAUAGCUCAAGUUUAAAGCCCACAAGACUUGACUGGACUCUGCAAAUCCUGUGCUCACGUUACAAUGUCGCCACUGAAAGCACCUACAGACACCAGUGCCAUGUUGGUUGUGAUCAUCGGUGCCGAAGUGCCGAACUUGUUUGAAGAGAGUUUUAAAAAAUAAAUUAAAAACUGAAAAUUUAACAACACAAAUAUCGACAACUACAAAAAGUAGAAAACAUGACCGGCUGUGUUGGAACCACUAAGACAGAUUUUCGCAGAUUCCACUAGACUUCGAAUAUGCUUGCCAGGUCUUCAUUCUAUCCACAAGCGUUGCUUCUGCCGAGAUAUUCCAGUUAGUUGUGGAGGAAGAAUGCAGGUUUUACAGGAACCUCAUUUGUAUAUGUAUGUAUGUAUGUCUCUGCAUAUAUAUAUAUAUAUAUAUGUGUGUGUGUGUGUGUGUGUGUACGUGUAUCCUGAACUAGUAGUUUCUGAUGGGUCUGACCGAGAGGCAACACCGAAAUAUUAGAAACUACUGGAUGGGUCUGGUCAGCUUUCUGACUUUAGUGCGAAGUGUGUGCAGAGUUCAUUGUUUGGGGAAUGGGGGAGUGUUCAAACAGACCAGCAUCACUGUUUUUAUAUUUGAGCAGACAAUUGAUAUGUGAUUUAUCCAAACUCGUCAACAAAGAUUCAUUGAUGGACGUCCAACAAUAAAUCUUUGUUGGACGAUUGGAUACUUGGGAAUUGGUGUGCACUUGAUAAAUAAACAAAUAAAUAAUGAGGGUAUAGAAUGGUUAUUAGAAACAAUACAAGCAGAUUCACUUUUUGUUAUGUCAAUAAUUUGAAGGAUGAUAUAAAGCCUUACCAUUAUAUGAAGCAUGUCUGUUAUGAAUUAGGAAAUUUGUAAAUAUUUCAUCUGCUCUGAUUAAAUGAAAUGAAAUUAAUAUAAUAAAUUGAUUAAGAACAUUUAAACUAUUUUUGAAUAGACAUAUUUCUAAUCAUGUUUUUAAUGUCAUAUAUGUUUUUGUGAAUAUACAUAUUUAUAAAUAUACUAUAUAUAUAUAUAUAUAUAUAUAUAUAUGUAUAUAUAUACACACAAACACACAUGAAUUUUGCAAAUUAAUUAUGUUAAUUUAAUUUUUUUAUAAAGUUAAUUUAAAAGUGUUGCAAUUUUUGAUCAUUAUGAUAGAUUGAAGUAAAAUAAACCAGUUUUUCAAUAAUUUUUGGAAAUAUUUACAUAAAAUUCUAUAAUCAUAAGAAAUCAUAAAAUAACAUUUUUUUUUUUUUUUUUUUUUUUUUAUUCUAUUAGUUACAUGAAUGAAUUAAUAUUUGUGGAAUCCAUCAUGGAUCAAUCAUUUAAUUUAUUCUAAUAUUAAAUUGCAUCUACAAAUCUGCUGUUCAUAUUGAAGAUGCUUUUGCUUUGUAGAAUAAAGAAUAAUUUUUAAAAUUGUUUUUAAUAUUAUGGUAAUUAUAAUUAUUAUUUAUCCAAUAUAGUUAUACAAUAGAUCAUUUUUCCAAAAAACAAUUGCAGAAGAUAGUCUUAAAACUAAAAAUAGAUUAUAUAAAAAUAAUCCAAAUAUAUAUAUAUAUAUAUAUAUAUAUAUAUUUAUCCAAAUUAUCGUUGAAUUCUAUGACAAUAGAUUCAAAUGUUGACUUUUACUUAUAGUAUUCCUAAGAGUAGCAUCUUCUUACAAACUAAAUUUUACGAAUUUUUAAAUUGUUGAUUCUUUGAAAUAUUACUUUAUUUUAAUACCUUUCUGCAAUUUUAUAGUUUUGAAUGUUACAAACCCAAAAAAAAAUUUACCAAAAAUCUAAAAAAUUAAAGGAUAAUAUUUUUUAUUUAAGUUUUGUUGAAUUUUUUUUUGUUGUGUUGUGUUGUUGUCCCCCCCCCCCCCUUCAUAUUUAUAGGUCUGUUAUCUGUUUUAAUUGUUCUUUGAUUCCAAGUUGCAGUACAUGUUGUGUCACUGCAUAUUUUGUAGCACAAAGAUUUUAGUUACAUACAGUAUUAUACAAGAAAAAUUGCAAAAAUUGGUUUGAAACUUUCAUACAUACAAACCUCAAUUCAUACUUUUUUAUACUCGUGUUUACACAAUCUAGCUCUCAUAAUCAUGCCCUAAGAAAACUCAACCAUACUCAACAAUUCAACUUUUAUCUACAAUUAAUCCUUUCCAUUGACACACAAAUCACACCAUCACAUUGCAAUACAAAGCCACAAAAAAAUCCACAUGAAGACCUCAACAAUUCACUUCAUCCACACACACAGACACAGUUUUCAAUCAAUCAGCAGCAGGUUUUACACAAUCUUCUGCGUCACCUCAGUUGCAAACAUACUCACAGCUCAAGAUGUCCACAACAAAACCAUAACGACAACAACAACAUGCAAAAAAAUACGAACUUUUAUUUUAGCUGAAUGAAAUGAGAUACAACUGUCCACGAUACCAAACUCAUGCAGAACAGUGAAGCUUAUUAUGAGAAUGAGCAUUAUUAGUGAUAGCCUGGUACUUCCAGCGAUUCAUUUGUUGCUUGGUAGACCGUCUACAUGUGAAUGAAAGCAUGGAAAGAAAGCAGAGGUUUGUGUGAGUGUUUCUGUGUGUGCUAUGAAGUAAUGGAAGAGGUGCUGUGUGAGGUUCUGCUUGUAAAGUGAGCUUGGGACACUGAGCGACGUCGACGAUGAAUGGGACUGCCCCGGAAGCAUCGACAGCGGCGUCGAGGAGGCAUCGAUCUCUUGUGAGCUUGGCCUCACUCGAUGUCACAUGCCCAACAUGGAAAACUCAUAAGAUUGAUCAGAACAAGGAUGUGUCGUUGUCGGUGGCGGUAGUGGCUCAGUGCAUAGCUCGGACGCAUCAAUACUUGCCUAUCCAUUGGUUGCCAUCGACGAAAUUCCACGACAAGAAUGGUCGCGCCUGCGCGUCGGUAAGCUCCUUGGACCAGUUCACUCGUCCCUUGGUGUCAGCUCCGACGCCUGUGCACUUGUAUUGCCCGUAAUACACCGUCCUGAAGCAUCGACAGUUUGUAACUUAAGUUUGUUGGAUCGGCAUCCUCUCAAGUCUAGAAAAGUAUGAUACUAGCAAGAUUGGAAAGCUGUAGGGGUAACUCGGAAGUGUGUGUGUUUUUUAGGUGGUGAUGGACAAUCUGGAGAUGGUGGUGAAGUAAGAGAGGGAGUGGAGAUCUUACUUUUCUCUAGCAGGAUCGCCCCAGUUGUACCACCCUGCGGGAAUAAUGGGGGCGGAGAUGUCGGUGUACAGGAGCACGACCCUGGAGUAAGGACCCCAAGCGCGGCCAAUGUAGAUAGGCCCGUUCCCGGUGACGUUGCAACGAACGAAGGAAAACCCGCUAGUCUCCGCUUUCGUCAUCUUCUUCUGGGCGGUCAAGGACCCGCUGCCAGGGUUGGCAAUCGAGUGCAAAUGACAUGUCUGCAUUGGGAUUCAAUCGGUGAGUUUGGAAUUCACUGGAGUUGUUCCUGUUUUCCUGAUGUCCUACUCAGUUGAGCGUUUCGCGGAGUGACUGAAGAGUUGCGAGAGAAUGUAGUUGGCAGGUUUUUACCUCAUAAUACGACUGACCGUUGCCGAAGACGAAGUCGAUGGAGCCCUGGAUGUAGCAAUCUUUGAAGUAAUGCCUCCCCUGCUUGUCGUAUAAGGUAUCCUGGGCUCCGAGGAAGGCCACGCGAUAGAACUGAGCCUUGUCUCCUUCGAUUCUGAAUGCUACUGCUUGCUGCCCCACAGCACCGCCUGGUGGAGGAGGGCUCGAGUUCUGUUCCCCAACCCAUGGUGAUGCCACUUUAGAACAUGACGUCUUUAGGAAGCAGAGUGACAGUUUAGCUACACAGCAUGCGAAUCAGUUGGGUACAGAAGGAGGUUGCAAGCAACGCUUACAAAAUUAGUGGCUUGAGUAUGAUGACUGAUAGAAGCAUGACUAAAGAGAUAGUGUUUCGUUUGUUUGUUUGUUUGUUUUUUUUUUUUUUUUUUUUUUUUUUACCUCGAAGGUGAGGUCCUUGGCAACAAAAUAAUCAGACAUGACAGCGAAGGAAGCACUCUGAGAUGUGGAACCCGCUUCCUCUGCAGUAUCGCCGUAUGACAGGAUCGUUACGCCAGCACCCGCUCCUUCAAUUGUUAUGUAGGGCUUAUCCUUUGGGAUUUCGAUCUUCUCCCUGCCACAUCAGAAUUCCACCAGUUUGAUCUGAUUCAGAAGCUCUUCUUUCAUGGCCAUGUCCAGCUACUUAAGACAUUAAAUCCCGAGUUUAAUUUGCCAAAGGCGCUUGUAGAAUUGAGUUGCCGUACUGCCUAGAGGACUUCUUUCGAGCCUUCAUGACAAAGUUAGCGAACAUUGUCCAAGAUGGUGAACACAAACACUUACUUGUAGAAACCUUUAGCAAUUCUGAUGACGCAUCGAACAGAGUUGCCUUUAGGAAUCGACUUGAUUGCAGCUUUCACUUUUGUGUACUUCGCUCCAGACCCUUUCUUCCCCACUGUCCUUAUGCAAGUGGCCUCUUGUGGCGGCGAGGGGGUUGCCUCGACGCUGAAAUCUCCACCUGGAAGGGUCUGAGUGUCCAAAACAGUUGAUUCGGAGUUCUGAGCCUCAUACUUGGCUUGGUUACGUGCAAUCCAGGCGUCAAAAUCUUCCUCUGGAGUUGGUACAGUCUGAGACGAAACUGUGAGAAAAAAUCCUGUUGCUAAGACGAGGGUGCACAGAAGAGCAGCUCUAGA
RNAcentral lists this long non-coding RNA (9707 nucleotides) under Physcomitrium patens. RNAcentral describes it as "long non-coding RNA (PPAT_LNC013973)". The record is from RNAcentral. Lineage: Eukaryota; Viridiplantae; Streptophyta; Bryopsida; Funariales; Funariaceae.